RNAcentral lists this ribosomal RNA (481 nucleotides) under uncultured bacterium. RNAcentral describes it as "partial 16S ribosomal RNA". It matches the Rfam family "Bacterial small subunit ribosomal RNA", at positions 28 to 507 of the family's 1533-position model. The record is from RNAcentral.
GACGAACGCUGGCGGCGUGCUUAAUACAUGCAAGUCAACUGAAGCAGUGCUAGCAAUAUCGCUGGCGAGAUGGGGCACGGGGGAGGAAAAAGUAGGGAAACUGGCCUCAGGUUUGGCAUAACCUCGGGGAAACGGGGCCAAUAACAGAAGAUGCAGCCGCUCGACAUGGAGGCGGUUGUUAAAGCUAUGCCGCCUGAAGUUGAGCCUGCGUCUGCUUACCUAGUUGUCGGGGUAACUGCUCACAAAGGCUACGAUCAGUAGCUGGUCGGGGAGGUUGAUCAGCCACACUGGAGCUGAGACACGGUCCAGACUCCUACGCAGAGCAGCAGUAAGGACUAUUGCUCAAUAUGAGACAUCCUGAAGCGGCAACGCCGCGUGAGGGACGACGGGCUUUUGCUUGUAAACCUCUGUAGUGAGAGAAAAAAAUCCCAAUCUUUGGGACAUGAUGGUAUCUCAAAAGUAAGCCCCGGCUAACUACGUG